Molecule: ribosomal RNA, 484 nt
Filed under: uncultured bacterium
Lineage: Bacteria
Description: partial 16S ribosomal RNA
Rfam family: Bacterial small subunit ribosomal RNA
Source: RNAcentral
AUUGAACGCUGGCGGCAGGCCUAACACAUGCAAGUCGAGCGGAUGAAGGGAGCUUGCUCCUGGAUUCAGCGGCGGACGGGUGAGUAAUGCCUAGGAAUCUGCCUGGUAGUGGGGGAUAACGUCCGGAAACGGGCGCUAAUACCGCAUACGUCCUGAGGGAGAAAGUGGGGGAUCUUCGGACCUCACGCUAUCAGAUGAGCCUAGGUCGGAUUAGCUAGUUGGUGGGGUAAAGGCCUACCAAGGCGACGAUCCGUAACUGGUCUGAGAGGAUGAUCAGUCACACUGGAACUGAGACACGGUCCAGACUCCUACGGGAGGCAGCAGUGGGGAAUAUUGCACAAUGGGCGAAAGCCUGAUGGAGCAACGCCGCGUGAGUGAAGAAGGUCUUCGGAUCGUAAAGCUCUUUUAGUAGGGAGGAAGAACAGUAUGAGUAUCUAUUGACGUCUUGACGGUACCUAAAGAAUAAGCACCGGCUAACUACGUG